UUCCUUUCAUAGCUCAGCUGGUAGAGCAUGAACCUCUUAAUCUCGGGGCCGUGGGUUCAAGCCUCACAUUGGGCCAAA
This is a non-coding RNA of Podarcis lilfordi (Lilford's wall lizard), 78 nucleotides long. Lineage: Eukaryota; Metazoa; Chordata; Lepidosauria; Squamata; Lacertidae. The record is from the annotation of a GenBank genome assembly.